Molecule: long non-coding RNA, 563 nt
Organism: Hydra vulgaris (swiftwater hydra)
Lineage: Eukaryota; Metazoa; Cnidaria; Hydrozoa; Anthoathecata; Hydridae
Source: RefSeq, a predicted model, not a curated record
AUCAAGUACGUCCGAAACAUUAGUUAUAAACAAUAUAACAAAACGCAACGAGAUUCACAAAAACUUUUUUCUACUAACAUACUAUAAAUGAAGUUAGCAUAAAAUGAUUUAAUUGAGCUAACAAAUUAAAAAGGUAUUGUUGUUCAAUCAAUGUAUGGCUUUCAACAACUUAAAGUAUUAUAACUAUACAAAAAGUUACUGAAACUAAGAAAAAAAAGUUCACGUAUUCGUGUUUUUAUCUUUAAGUGCAUAAACAUUUAAAUUAGUUCAAUUUACGAAAAAUUUUGAAGAAAAAGAAACUACUGCAGUUUGUAAAGUUUCACUUAUUGUUACAUUUAUAUAUAAAUUUUUUCACAACAAAAUAAAGUUUCAUUUCUAAAAACAAUGCAUCCCAUAUGAUACCAUUGAUUCGGAAUGCAAAUAUAACAUUUGAUCUAGAAAUAAACAUUUAAUUUUUUGGACCAAUUUCACUACCACAAAUUCGACACAAACUGUUCUGCCAACUUCUCUGACCUAUUGAUUUAAUUUUGCAUCAUUUUUUUUUGUCUUUAUUUUAAGAUAUC